This 434-nucleotide ribosomal RNA is filed under the name uncultured Ruminococcus sp. RNAcentral's name for it is "partial 16S ribosomal RNA". It matches the Rfam family "Bacterial small subunit ribosomal RNA", at positions 341 to 792 of the family's 1533-position model. Lineage: Bacteria; Bacillati; Bacillota; Clostridia; Eubacteriales; Oscillospiraceae. The record is from RNAcentral.
ACGGAAGGCAGCAGUGGGGAAUAUUGCACAAUGGGCGGAAGCCUGAUGUAGCGAUGCCGCGUGGAGGAAGAAGGUUUUCGGAUUGUAAACUCCUUUUAUCGGGGACGAUAAUGACGGUACCUGAAGAAAAAGCUCCGGCUAACUACGUGCCAGCAGCCGCGGUAAUACGUAGGGAGCGAGCGUUGUCCGGAAUUACUGGGUGUAAAGGGUGCGUAGGCGGGGAUGCAAGUCAGAUGUGAAAUGUAUGGGCUCAACCCAUGAACUGCAUUUGAAACUGCAACUCUUGAGUGAGGUAGAGGUAAGCGAAAUUCCUAGUGUAGCGGUGAAAUGCGUAGAUAUUAGGAGGAACAUCGGUGGCGAAGGCGGCUUACUGGGACUUUACUGACGCUGAGGCACGAAAGCGUGGGGAGCAAACAGGAUUAGAUACCCUGGUA